AUAUAUAGACUUGACCUCUGGACUGGUAGCAGAGACUAGAAAGUAGAAGCGGUGGCAUGUUCAUUAUCUAGGUGGAAGGCCAGAGACCAACCACAGAGCUACAGCUUCUCUGUGAAAAUUGUACGCUUUAGAUGUGGCUGCCUGAGCUUCUGAUUAUACAUCUGGUUUGAGGUGAUGGCAGGUAAGAAUAGGGGAAUAGACUUCUAAUUAUAAUUUUUGCCAUUUUGAAAAACUUGUGAACCAUCUGGGGUUCCAACCUUCAUUGUUUGAGGCAUCAAAAUGUGGCGAUGAAUUAGCUUUUAUGGAUGAAUUCUAAGGAAUUCACUGAUUUUAUUUAAUAAAUAAAAUAAGUGCAUUUAUAGAUUAUAAGCUCCAUAAGACAGUGAUAGAUAAGGUGCUCUGAAAUUUGAGUGUAGAGAUCCCUUAUGUUUGGUUAGCAUUGCCCAGAUAUACUUUAUUGGAAGGGAUAUAUUAGAGCCAGGUUAAACUUAGUAAGUGCUAUAUAUUGAGCCUUUUUAGUACCUAUUAUGUUACGUUUUUUAGAUUCUAAAUAUUUUUAUCAUUUCUCAAACUACGUUUUCUCCUAUUUUUGUGUACUUCACAAUAUUACAUGACUGGUAUUGUAUAGUUCCUUAUUUUGUACCUCAUUUGUCAUAUUCAUGGAGAUUUUCAUUUGAACUGUUCCAAAGGAGCAGACUUGUGUACUUGUAAAGGUUUGAGAAGAAACUCAGCACAGAUGGUGAGCUUGAUGAACUAAAAGUUCUGAAGAAUGUGACAUCAGGACCCAGUAGGGCACCGUACUACCUUUACCAUCCAAGUACACCAAAGUACUAAAUUUCUGGGAGGGCAGAGGAUGCUGCAGAUUUUUGUUUUCCACUCAUUGAUUUCUUUCAUUUCAGUUGGUGAUGACUGAGGUGCUUCAGAUAGGAAAAACUCUGAGGCUCCCCUGGAAUGAGUAAUCAGCUAUCCUGACUACAGACUGAACCUCUCGCCCCUGAGGAUCCCCAGCAGUAGGACAAGGAAACAGAAUCUCUCUUAGCAGUGGGAGAAUUGAAAUACCAGUGGAGUGGCUAUGGAGUUGGAGAGCAGCACUUAUUGGGUGUCCUCUGCGGUUGGCCCACAUGGUUUUUGGUCCUUUGCCAGGUGAUGAAAAGUCAAAGAACAAGUUCAUGUGACAGAAGAAAAGUAGUGUAUUUGAAAACUACAUGUCCAAGUUUCAGAAGGCUUAAAGAGAGCAUUACUUAUCCAGGUGCAGUAUUGGGAAGUUGUUAUAGAAGAUGUUGGGAGAGAUGAGAACAUGAUAGCCAUGUUCAGAAGGGGCUUCAGUUUGGGGCACUGACCAAGUAGAAAUCAGGAGGAAGAUUGUAGAAUUGGCUAUUUGAGAUCCCAGAAGCACCAUGUCAGAGUUCCUCCUACAGUAUAAUAUUGGUAUGAAUUAUUAUUU
Molecule: long non-coding RNA, 1444 nt
Organism: Marmota monax (woodchuck)
Lineage: Eukaryota; Metazoa; Chordata; Mammalia; Rodentia; Sciuridae
Exons: 3
Source: RefSeq, a predicted model, not a curated record